This 25-nucleotide non-coding RNA is filed under the name Cricetulus griseus (Chinese hamster). Lineage: Eukaryota; Metazoa; Chordata; Mammalia; Rodentia; Cricetidae. The record is from RNAcentral.
GUAUUUUUAAUGGUCUGUUGUUGAG